RNA transcript from Herpailurus yagouaroundi (jaguarundi), 2386 nucleotides. It is a transcript of the gene named single stranded DNA binding protein 1, with no coding region annotated. NCBI's taxonomy places the organism in Eukaryota, Metazoa, Chordata, Mammalia, Carnivora, Felidae. The record is from RefSeq and is a predicted model, not a curated record. The transcript is spliced from 9 exons.
UAGCUCGAGGUUAGUUCGGGCUAGAGUGUCCGGUGAGGGUGGAGGGAGCCACGAGUUCUUUGCUAGAGGAAGACCAAAGACUAGGUUGUAGGAAAAGCAAAUAGAAGCCAUGUUUCGGAGACCUGUAUUACAGGUGUUUCAUCAGUUUGUAAGACGUGAGUCUGAAAUAGCCAGCAGCUUGGUUCUUGAAAGAUCUCUGAACCGUGUGCAGCUCCUUGGGCGAGUGGGUCAGGACCCCGUCAUGAGACAGGUGGAAGGGAAGAACCCGGUCACAAUAUUUUCUCUAGCAACGAAUGAGAUGUGGCGGUCAGGGGAGAGUGAAGUAUACCAAAUGGAUUUAGGUGAUGUCAGUCAAAAGACGACAUGGCACAGAAUAUCAGUAUUCCGACCAGGCCUCAGAGAUGUGGCGUAUCAGUAUGUGAAAAAGGGGUCCCGUAUCUAUGUGGAAGGGAAAGUCGACUAUGGUGAAUACACAGAUAAAAACAAUGUGAGGCGACAGGCAACAACAAUCAUAGCUGAUAAUAUUAUAUUUCUGAGUGACCAGACCAAAGAAAAGGCAUAGAGUGGACGAUUCUUCUUUGGCCAUUGUUUGGUACGGUCUCAUUUCCAAAUCACGUAUAGUCUUUAUAGUUCCUAAGGACAAGAAUUAAAAUAUUCUUUUAUAUAAAAUGAGUAAUAAUACUUUUGACUGUUCCUCCCCCUUGUCUCAUAAACCUUGGUAGCUAAUUGUUUAUUCUUUUAGGGAUGGUUUCUGUGUACAAGAGUAUAAAACAGAUGAACUUGGGUUCAUCUAUGUUAUGGCAAAAGGAUAGGUGUCCUUUGGGAUGGGCUCUUGCUUUUUAUACACGCUUGUAUUAUAGUACUGAUCCAGCCACUAAAUAUUCUAUGUCAGGCCUUUAUCCCAUUGUUGUGAAUAAUGAUUUUCUUACUGUUUAUAAACUAAAUGGCGAGGACUGUACUGUAUGCUUUUUGUUUCCUGCACCUUAACCAGUGCUUGGCACAGAAUAGGUACUCGAUAAAUGUUGACAGAUGAAUGAUCCCAAUGGGAUAUUAAGCUUCAGCCCAAACUGAAGGGGGUUGCUGAACAGGGGUUGGUAUCGAACCUAAACCUAGCUUUAAGACUAACCGACUUUCUUCACAUCUUUUGUUUUUGGACAGAUUUCACUAGUAGCACUUAUGAAAUAGAGUUUAUCAAUAGUAGAGACCCAAAAUAUAAGUAGGGAUGAACUAGUUCAUUUCCAGGUGAUGCCACAGGGGCUCUGGUUCCACUAGUUUCUGUCUUUCUAAGCCCCAUUCUCUAUCCUUUUAGUCUCACCCAGAACUUGGGGGAGUCCCCUAAACAACCUUUGACAUUGCCUCUGUAGGUUAGAGCCUGAGGUGUGACAUUUUCCUUUUAUUUUUCCACCUGGUCUCUUGAUGCACAUACAAAGAUCAUUGUGUACACACGAUUACUUUCAUUAUGAGAUUCUGGAAAUUACAGAGUACUAGUAAUUUCCUAAUAAGUAUUACAUAAAGUAAAGUCUGUUUUUCAGUGCCUCUUGUACUUUUUAGGUUUGCAUCAGACCUCCACAGGUCUGCUAGCUGGCUGUGCCUGUUUAGAAUUGGCCACUGUCGAGCUGGUUGUCCAGUUCAAGUUGUAGCAGUCCCUCAUUCUGUCUCGGCCACUCAGGCUCCAGCUUUGCCUCCAGCCCAGCCUGUUUUUUGGUGCCCUAGACUACAUGUCUUGUCCCCUGUGCCCGAGAGCAGGGUGCUGACUGUGGUUUAGGUCAUGCUGGACUGUCACGGGUUCCCGGUUUACAUGCUGCCUUAUGGACCCUCACCUGAGCCCCUUUUUGCACUUAUGGUACAGUUGGGUCAGGGUAAAGAUGGAGUUCUUCAGCUUUUCUCUCUUCUUGUCCAGGAACAGUAGAAAAGGAAUUGCCGUUUCCUCAUAUCAGCCGUCUUUUUUCCUGCAGCUGGGACCAUUAAUCAGUACAUGAACUCUGCUUUGUGAGGAAACCUGAAACUGCGUGGUUAAGUAACAUGUCAAAGUCAUGCAGCUUAUAAGAGGCACAGCUGGAGUUUGAGUUUAGUUAACUGUUGCUAAGGGGGUAGAAGCAGACGCCAUUUGGUGGUGCUUCCAGGAAAGCCCCUUAAAUGAUUAGCUCUGUUGGGAGGCUCAUCCUUUGUGCUUCUCCAGACCCUCACCUGGCUUUUUCUGGUCUGAAAUGUGGACAUGAUGGCUGAGAGUCUCCAGUAGCCAUUUUAGACCACAAGACUAUCUGCAGGAUGGAAGAUGGAAGAGGCUGGAGUCCGUGAUGACCAUGGAACCACCAUCGCGGUCCUCGACAGUCUACCUCUGGACUUCUUUGGGAGACACAAAUAAAUCUCUACCUUGUUUACGCCA